CCUACGGGAGGCAGCAGUGAGGAAUAUUGGUCAAUGGACGCAAGUCUGAACCAGCCAUGCCGCGUGCAGGAAGACGGCUCUAUGAGUUGUAAACUGCUUUUGUACGAGGGUAAACGCAGAUACGCGUAUCUGUCUGAAAGUAUCGUACGAAUAAGGAUCGGCUAACUCCGUGCCAGCAGCCGCGGUAAUACGGAGGAUUCAAGCGUUAUCCGGAUUUAUUGGGUUUAAAGGGUGCGUAGGCGGUCGGAUAAGUUAGCGGUGAAAUCCCGGGGCUCAACUCCGGAAUUGCCUCUGAUACUGUUCGGCUAGAGAGUAGUUGCGGUAGGCGGAAUGUAUGGUGUAGCGGUGAAAUGCUUAGAGAUCAUACAGAACACCGAUUGCGAAGGCAGCUUACCAAGCUACUUCUGACGUUGAGGCACGAAAGCGUGGGUAUCGAACAGGAUUAGAUACCCGGGUAGUC
Molecule: ribosomal RNA, 460 nt
Filed under: uncultured bacterium
Lineage: Bacteria
Description: partial 16S ribosomal RNA
Rfam family: Bacterial small subunit ribosomal RNA
Source: RNAcentral